Molecule: non-coding RNA, 610 nt
Organism: Misgurnus anguillicaudatus (oriental weatherfish)
Lineage: Eukaryota; Metazoa; Chordata; Actinopteri; Cypriniformes; Cobitidae
Source: RefSeq, a predicted model, not a curated record
ACCUGCACUCCGCGGACAGAACAUUUAAGCCAUGACGCCUAUAUUUUUGGUGCGUUUUGGAUGCGGAGCCAUGCGCAAAGUUUCAAAAAUGCCAUGCAGACAUAGGCAUGGUGGUGUGCUCUGCAUUUUUGUAACUUUGCACAUGAUUUCACAUCCGAAACCCAUUACUCCUCCCCCAAAAGUGAGCUGUGCUGAACUGGGUCAUACUAUGCAGUGGAAAAGCGCCAAAAGUGUCCUACUUCGUGGCUUGAAGGAUUUGGCAGUUUCAGCGUUGGACUUGUAAUUCUGCGUGUUUGGCCUCUUUAGCACAUGCUGUUUGAAAGUCAUUGCUUGCAACAGAUUGAGCGACUGUCAUUCUGCAUUUCUGUUUGCAUUGCUUUGCUUGCAUUUUGAAUCCUUCGCAAUAAUAACUUCGCAAAAAGUUUUACAUUUGAACUGUAGUUGUAGAUUCAAGUUUGUUUUUCCUUGAUAUAAUGUAUUUAUAUAGAUUUUUACAAUUAUUUAUCAUGCAGUGCUUCAUAUAUGAGAAAGACAACGCUUGAAGAACCACACAACACUCAUAUUAAUGUAUGUGUCAUAUUAAUAAAAAUAAACAAGUCUUUGCACUUCA